Molecule: long non-coding RNA, 1144 nt
Filed under: Homo sapiens (human)
Lineage: Eukaryota; Metazoa; Chordata; Mammalia; Primates; Hominidae
Source: RNAcentral
AUAGGGUUUUGCCUUGUUGCCCACGCUGGUCUCGAACUCCUGAACUUAAGCGAUCCUCCCAGCUCAGCCUCCAAAAGUGCUGGGAUUACAGGCAUGAACCACCAUGCCCAGCUGGUAAACACACUUCUUAAAAGACUUGCUCUGCUGCCUUUGGCAGCACACAUACUAAAAUUGGAACGAUACAGAGAAGAUUAGCAUGGCCCCUGUGCAAGGAUGACACGCAAAUUCAUGAAGUGUUCCAUAUUUUUCCCUAGAAGUAAACCUAGGCAAUACCAUUCAGGACAUAGACGUGGGCAAAGACUACGAUGAAAUAACCAAAAGUAAUGGUAACAAAAGCCAGAAUUGACAAAUGGAAUUUAAUUAAACUAAAGAGCUUCUGCAUGGCAAAAGAAACUAUCAUCAGAGUGAACAGACAACCUACAGAAUGGGAGACAUUUUUUUGCAAUUUACCCAUCUGACAAAGGUCUAAUAUCCAGAAUUUACAGGGAACUUAAACAAACUUACAAGAAAAAAACAACCCCAUCAGAAAGUAGGCAAAGGAUAUGAACAGACACUUCCCAAAGACAUUCAUGCAGCCAACAAGCAUAUUAAAAAAAGCUCAACAUCCCUGUUCAUUAGAGAAAUGCAAAUCGAAACCACAAUUAAAUACGAUCUCAUGCUAGUCAGAAUGGUGAUUACUAAAAAGCCAAGAAAUGGCACCGAGGCUGUGGAGAAAUAGGAAUGCUUUUACACUGUUGGUGGGAAUGUAAAUUAGUUCAACCAUUGUGGAAGACAGUAUGGCGAUUCCUCAAGGAUCUAGAAUCAGAAGUACCAUUUGAUCCAGCAAUCGCAUUACUGGGUAUAUACCUGAAAGGAUACAAAUCUUUCUACUAUAGAGACACAUGCACACGUAUGUUUACUGCAGCACUAUUUACAAUUGCAAAGUCAUGGAACCAACCCAAAUGCCCAUCAAUGAUAGACUGGAUAAAGAAAAUGUGGUACAUAUACACCACCAUGGAAUACUAUGCAGCCAUAAAAAGGAAUGAGAUCAUUCCUUUGCAGGAACAUGGAUGAAGCUGGAAGCCGUCAUCCUCAGCAAACUAACACAGGUACAGAAAACCAAACACUGCGUGUUCUCACUCAUAAGUGGGAGUUGAACAAUCAU